UACGUAGGAGGCGAGCGUUGUCCGGAUUCAUUGGGCGUAAAGAGCACGCAGGCGGUUUGGCAAGUCGGAUGUGAAAACCCGGAGCUCAACUCCGGACCUGCAUCCGAAACUGCCCGACUAGAGGUAGGUAGGGGAGAUCGGAAUUCCUGGUGUAGCGGUGAAAUGCGCAGAUAUCAGGAGGAACACCGGUGGCGAAGGCGGGUCUCUGGGCCGAUACUGACGCUGAGGAGCGAAAGCGUGGGGAGCAAACAGG
This 253-nucleotide ribosomal RNA is filed under the name uncultured bacterium. RNAcentral's name for it is "partial 16S ribosomal RNA". It matches the Rfam family "Bacterial small subunit ribosomal RNA", at positions 524 to 776 of the family's 1533-position model. The record is from RNAcentral.